GGAUGAUUGCUGCAACUGGCAGACAGGCAUGACUAAGGAUCAUGUGCCGAAAGGCAUUGUGGGUUCGAUCCCCACAUCAUCUA
RNAcentral lists this transfer RNA (83 nucleotides) under Caudoviricetes sp. Its description in RNAcentral is "tRNA-Leu". It matches the Rfam family "tRNA". Rfam says of the family: Transfer RNA (tRNA) molecules are approximately 80 nucleotides in length. Lineage: Duplodnaviria; Heunggongvirae; Uroviricota; Caudoviricetes. The record is from RNAcentral.